RNAcentral lists this ribosomal RNA (526 nucleotides) under Alternaria sp. KFC1. RNAcentral's name for it is "eukaryotic LSU rRNA". The stretch from base 150 to 303 matches the Rfam family "5.8S ribosomal RNA". The record is from RNAcentral. Lineage: Eukaryota; Fungi; Ascomycota; Dothideomycetes; Pleosporales; Pleosporaceae.
GGGCUGGACCUCUCGGGGUUACAGCCUUGCUGAAUUAUUCACCCUUGUCUUUUGCGUACUUCUUGUUUCCUUGGUGGGUUCGCCCACCACUAGGACAAACAUAAACCUUUUGUAAUUGCAAUCAGCGUCAGUAACAAAUUAAUAAUUACAACUUUCAACAACGGAUCUCUUGGUUCUGGCAUCGAUGAAGAACGCAGCGAAAUGCGAUAAGUAGUGUGAAUUGCAGAAUUCAGUGAAUCAUCGAAUCUUUGAACGCACAUUGCGCCCUUUGGUAUUCCAAAGGGCAUGCCUGUUCGAGCGUCAUUUGUACCCUCAAGCUUUGCUUGGUGUUGGGCGUCUUGUCUCUAGCUUUGCUGGAGACUCGCCUUAAAGUAAUUGGCAGCCGGCCUACUGGUUUCGGAGCGCAGCACAAGUCGCACUCUCUAUCAGCAAAGGUCUAGCAUCCAUUAAGCCUUUUUUUCAACUUUUGACCUCGGAUCAGGUAGGGAUACCCGCUGAACUUAAGCAUAUCAAUAGGCGGAGGAAA